AACGCACAUUGCGCCUUCUGGUAAUCCGGGAGGCAUGCCUGUCUGAGCGUCAUUACACCAUUCAAACUUUUACUUUUUUAGUUGAAGGUUGGUUUUGGGAGUAGACUGAGUAAAACUGGUAACAGCAACUUUUUGGUCUCUUCUGUAAUGUAUUGACGAGUGUCUACUGUCUCUUAGUUGUAGCAAGUAUCUUUCUCAACUUCAAGAUCAGCAGUAUGAUAGUCCUACUUCACCUUGUCCUUCCUUCGGGAUUGGCAUUUCCAAAGUUUGACCUCAGAUCAGGUAGGAAUACCCGCUGAACUUAA
Molecule: unclassified non-coding RNA, 305 nt
Filed under: uncultured fungus
Lineage: Eukaryota; Fungi
Description: sequence contains ITS2
Rfam family: 5.8S ribosomal RNA (bases 1-52)
Source: RNAcentral